RNAcentral lists this ribosomal RNA (483 nucleotides) under uncultured bacterium. Its description in RNAcentral is "partial 16S ribosomal RNA". It matches the Rfam family "Bacterial small subunit ribosomal RNA", at positions 28 to 507 of the family's 1533-position model. The record is from RNAcentral.
GAUGAACGCUGGCGGCGUGCCUUACACAUGCAAGUCGAACGGAGUCGUUUUUUCAAUCUCUUCGGAGUUGGAAUUCUCUACUUAGUGCCUGACGGGUGAGUCACUCGUGAGCAAUCUGCCUUUAAGAGGUUUAUUACAGUCGCAAACGGCUUCUAAUACCGCAUAAAGCAUUAAAUUCGCAUGUUUUUGCUGCCCAACGAGCAAUCCGCUUUUAGAUUAGCUCGCUUCUGAUUAGCUAGUUGGCGGGGUAACGGCCCACCAAGGCGACUAAAAGUAGCCGGACUGAGAGGAGGAACGGCCACAUUGGGACUGAGACACGGCAGAGACGCCUACGGGAGGAAGCAGGGAGGAAUAUUGCGCAAAGGGGGAAAGCCUGACGCAGCAACGCCGCGUGAAUGAAGAAGGCCUUCGGGUUGAAAAGAUCUUUAAUAAGGGACGAAACAAAUGACGGUACCGGAAGAAUAAGCACCGGCUAACUACGUG